Molecule: ribosomal RNA, 485 nt
Filed under: uncultured bacterium
Lineage: Bacteria
Description: partial 16S ribosomal RNA
Rfam family: Bacterial small subunit ribosomal RNA
Source: RNAcentral
AUUGAACGCUGGCGGCAGGCUUAACACAUGCAAGUCGAGCGGGGAAAGGUAGCUUGCUACCUGACCUAGCGGCGGACGGGCGAGUAAUGCUUAGGUAUCUGCCUAGUAGUGGGGGACAACAUCUCGAAAGGGAUGCUAAUACCGCAUACGUCCUACGGGUGAAAGCCGGGGACCUUCGGGCCUUGCGCUAAUAGAUGAGCCUAAGUCGGAUUAGCUAGUUGGUGGGGUAAAGGCCUACCAAGGCGACGAUCUGUAGCGGGUCUGAGAGGAUGAUCCGCCACACUGGGACUGAGACACGGCCCAAACUCCUACGGGGGGCAGCAGUAGGGAAUCUUGGGCAAUGGGCGGAAGUCUGAUCCAGCCAUGCCGCGUGUGUGAAGAAGGCCUUUGGGUUGUAAAGCACUGUAAGCGAGGAGGAGGCUACCGAGAUUAAUACUCUUGGAUAGUGGACGUUACUCGCAGAAUAAGCACCGGCUAACUCUGUG